AAGUGUUAUCUCUCUGAAAUGCCAUAAGGUGGCAGUGAAUUAGAAAAUCGGUGCUAUUUCUGGGUAGAACAAAGCUUUUAAAAGCUCGGUAGCGGUGGUGGGGAGGCUUUAUUUUUUUUUGUUUGUUUGUCUGGGGGCUCGCAUUUGUCUGCUUUCAUUUCAGGUAUCACCCUGAACAUCACAUCCAAUCGUCUUAAUACACUGAGCAGGGCUGCUCCAACGUGCACAAGCACUAUUACUGGGUCAUUCCAACAUCAGCCACGGUGAAGAGGGCAGGAGGGUGGUGUAUUGUGCCUCAGUAAGGCUGAUAAGGAUGAUCGUGCAAGGCUGCUGUGAACUUUGGUACGCCAGUGCAUCACACUCAGAUUAAUGGAUCUACCAGUUUGGCAUCUAAUUCCUUAAUAUUGCCAAGGGAAUUAGCCAAGAAACAACGCAGCGAGUGGAAAAUCAGAGAUUGUAACAGUAACAAAUUUACCGACUGCUCAGGCGUUAAUGAUUAGACAAUAAAUCCUGAAAAGUGGUUUUGAUUUUUGUCCCAGAACAAAAUCCACACCAAUCUAUGUUUAGAACACAGCACUUGCGUUUGUUUUUUCUGAGCGGGACAGAGGUUUUUAAUCCUGAGAACCCAGCAUUUUGCAACGAUUUCCUGUCACAGAACAUGUCACCACCAGCAAUUGCUUCAGAGAACAGCUGAUGUUUUGCCCAUCUGGGUGUGCGUGGGCGCACCUAGGCCUUGCAGGAUGCCAGGUAGGUUCGCCAGGACCAACAGAGCCAGGUGGUCCGAGCACUUUAAUGCAACGGGAGCUACAAAAAACUUCUGCUUCCCAGUUUUGCAGUGCAUCAUAAGAAGCCAAGACACCCCGUGCAGGUUCACGGGGACAUUGCGACACACAGAAAUCAUCUGUGACUCACUCAGUGCACCCUGAGAGAGACAUCGGGUUUCACACCGUGCCAGGACAACGUGUGGCUAAGUUUGAUGUCUUCCCUUGCUCCAGCAUUUGUCAGACCACACGUCAUUCAUAAAUAACCCUGGAAAAACAGCGCCCAGAGCCAGAGAAGCCGUGUCAGUCUGGUGGUCCUUUGACAAGCCUUCCAGAUAUUUGUGCUCCCGAAAGCAAAGAUGAUGCCCGUUCCUGCAGGACUCUGAAAAGGUUUAAAUCUAGAAAAGUGUUGGGCUCUUCUGUGUGCAUCAUCUACCUCCUUCACAUCAGAUUCACUCGAGCCACCCAUGACAGACAUCUAUCUGCUUUCUGUCGUGCUUCCCAGUGCUCCCAGCAGGCCUGUCUGUUUCUGCAAAGGGGAUACCAAGGAGCAGAUGGGUCACUCUCUCAGCAAGAAAUUAAAAUUAAACCCAGUGGCGUUGUGUUAACAGUGGUCCCCAGAGCUUACCGGGGCUCUCUACAACACAAUAUUAGAGGAAGGGCCCAUGUGUGUCCCGUGCUCACUAUUUCCACACCUCCCCAGUC
Molecule: non-coding RNA, 1466 nt
Organism: Anas platyrhynchos (mallard)
Lineage: Eukaryota; Metazoa; Chordata; Aves; Anseriformes; Anatidae
Source: RefSeq, a predicted model, not a curated record